This 623-nucleotide ribosomal RNA is filed under the name uncultured bacterium. Its description in RNAcentral is "bacterial SSU rRNA". It matches the Rfam family "Bacterial small subunit ribosomal RNA", at positions 35 to 651 of the family's 1533-position model. The record is from RNAcentral.
GCUAGCGGGCAGGCUUAAUACAUGCAAGUCGAGGGGUAACAUGAGAGCUUGCUCUUGAUGACGACCGGCGCACGGGUGAGUAACGCGUACAUAACCUACCUUCAAGAAGGGCAUAGCCCCGGGAAACUGGGAGUAAUACCCUAUAGUAUUACUUUUUUACAGAAGAGAGUAAUUAAAGCUACGGCGCUUGGAGAUGGGUGUGCGUCCCAUUAGCUAGUUGGUACGGUAACGGCGUACCAAGGCGACGAUGGGUAGGGGGCGUGAGAGCGUGAUCCCCCACACGGGUACUGAGACACGGACCCGACUCCUACGGGAGGCAGCAGUAAGGAAUAUUGGACAAUGGGCGAAAGCCUGAUCCAGCCAUCCCGCGUGCAGGAUGACUGCCCUAUGGGUUGUAAACUGCUUUUAGAUAGGAAGAAACCCCCUGACGAGUUGGGGGCCUGACGGUACUAUCAGAAUAAGCACCGGCUAACUCCGUGCCAGCAGCCGCGGUAAUACGGAGGGUGCAAGCGUUAUCCGGAAUCACUGGGUUUAAAGGGUGCGUAGGCGGAUAGAUAAGCCAGAGGUGAAAGCCCGCAGCUUAACUGUGGAAUUGCCUUUGAUACUGUUUAUCUUGAAUGAGG